This 1347-nucleotide ribosomal RNA is filed under the name Lactiplantibacillus plantarum. RNAcentral describes it as "bacterial SSU rRNA". It matches the Rfam family "Bacterial small subunit ribosomal RNA", at positions 45 to 1360 of the family's 1533-position model. Lineage: Bacteria; Bacillati; Bacillota; Bacilli; Lactobacillales; Lactobacillaceae. The record is from RNAcentral.
UGCCUAUACAUGCAAGUCGAACGAACUCUGGUAUUGAUUGGUGCUUGCAUCAUGAUUUACAUUUGAGUGAGUGGCGAACUGGUGAGUAACACGUGGGAAACCUGCCCAGAAGCGGGGGAUAACACCUGGAAACAGAUGCUAAUACCGCAUAACAACUUGGACCGCAUGGUCCGAGUUUGAAAGAUGGCUUCGGCUAUCACUUUUGGAUGGUCCCGCGGCGUAUUAGCUAGAUGGUGGGGUAACGGCUCACCAUGGCAAUGAUACGUAGCCGACCUGAGAGGGUAAUCGGCCACAUUGGGACUGAGACACGGCCCAAACUCCUACGGGAGGCAGCAGUAGGGAAUCUUCCACAAUGGACGAAAGUCUGAUGGAGCAACGCCGCGUGAGUGAAGAAGGGUUUCGGCUCGUAAAACUCUGUUGUUAAAGAAGAACAUAUCUGAGAGUAACUGUUCAGGUAUUGACGGUAUUUAACCAGAAAGCCACGGCUAACUACGUGCCAGCAGCCGCGGUAAUACGUAGGUGGCAAGCGUUGUCCGGAUUUAUUGGGCGUAAAGCGAGCGCAGGCGGUUUUUUAAGUCUGAUGUGAAAGCCUUCGGCUCAACCGAAGAAGUGCAUCGGAAACUGGGAAACUUGAGUGCAGAAGAGGACAGUGGAACUCCAUGUGUAGCGGUGAAAUGCGUAGAUAUAUGGAAGAACACCAGUGGCGAAGGCGGCUGUCUGGUCUGUAACUGACGCUGAGGCUCGAAAGUAUGGGUAGCAAACAGGAUUAGAUACCCUGGUAGUCCAUACCGUAAACGAUGAAUGCUAAGUGUUGGAGGGUUUCCGCCCUUCAGUGCUGCAGCUAACGCAUUAAGCAUUCCGCCUGGGGAGUACGGCCGCAAGGCUGAAACUCAAAGGAAUUGACGGGGGCCCGCACAAGCGGUGGAGCAUGUGGUUUAAUUCGAAGCUACGCGAAGAACCUUACCAGGUCUUGACAUACUAUGCAAAUCUAAGAGAUUAGACGUUCCCUUCGGGGACAUGGAUACAGGUGGUGCAUGGUUGUCGUCAGCUCGUGUCGUGAGAUGUUGGGUUAAGUCCCGCAACGAGCGCAACCCUUAUUAUCAGUUGCCAGCAUUAAGUUGGGCACUCUGGUGAGACUGCCGGUGACAAACCGGAGGAAGGUGGGGAUGACGUCAAAUCAUCAUGCCCCUUAUGACCUGGGCUACACACGUGCUACAAUGGAUGGUACAACGAGUUGCGAACUCGCGAGAGUAAGCUAAUCUCUUAAAGCCAUUCUCAGUUCGGAUUGUAGGCUGCAACUCGCCUACAUGAAGUCGGAAUCGCUAGUAAUCGCGGAUCAGCAGCCUC